UUAAUCAAAAUAUUUUGUAUGUGUGUGUGGGUAAUCUGUAUUUUAUUACCAACUAUUAAAAUAUGCUUCGCCAUCUAGCGGUACUAGCUAUUACUUCAUUGUACCGACUAGUAAAAAUAUGCUUUUAUCUAACGAUAGAAAUUUUUACUUCAGUUACCGGCAGGUAGAAUAUGUGGCGCCAUCUAGACGAAAGAUAACACAUCGGUAGGAGAAAAUCAAGAUGGCUACCUGUCAAUGUACUUUGAAUACCGUAAAUACAGGCAAUGUGCAGUGUAAAAUAUUACAUUAAAGAAAUUCUUCUUAGUGAUGCAAUAAUCAAGUGAGGAAUAUUUUUAAUUUAUAAUAAUUCUUUUCAUAUUCUUUCUUCAGUGAUCGUCAACUCUGGAUAUAAAUAGUAAUCUGGAUGAAUUGCUGUUGGGCAGUGUUAUGUCGUAACCUAAGAAAAAUAAUUUUCUUAAUUAAAUCCGAGAAUGCAGAUGAAUUCCAGACGUUCUUUUUAUCAAAUUAUUAUAACAAAUACUAUUCAGAUCAGCAUGCAGAUCUAUAUUUUAAAUUCCAAUCCAAGAACGUUAUAAUCAAAAGAAGAGGAGUCCAUUACACCAUUGGAUCAAUGAAUAUAUAUUUCAUUUUCUUACGGCUAACGAUUAGAAGAUUUGUAUUGAUUAUGCCAUCCAAAUAAGAGUUUUAUUCUAUAAUAUAUGGUAAAUAGAAUGCAGCUGCAGUAACAAAGAAUGAUCAAGACAAGAAUGUGUCAAAAGGGGAGGGAAAAAAUUUGACUAGAAGUGUCUACUCAUUAUUAUGAAGAUUGAUAAGAAGAAUCCAACAAUACUGCAACUAUGAAAGAUUUUUGAAUGCACUAUUCUUUUUAUACUUGCACUGGAAGAAAACCAUAUGCAGUAGUAUUCUGUCAAAAGAAUACUAGAAGAAAUGUAUUCUAGUUAUCACAAAUUAAGAAAAAAAAUGGCAAAUACAUUAUAUUAGGAAAUUCUAUUCAUGUCAAAAUCUUUUAUCAAGUUUUGUACACGAGAUUCAAUGUGAAUUAUUACGCGAAAAGAAUACAGCUGCUCUGACUACAAAUAAUCUAGACAAUAAUAUGUUUAAAGGUAAAUAUAA
Molecule: long non-coding RNA, 1113 nt
Organism: Polistes dominula (European paper wasp)
Lineage: Eukaryota; Metazoa; Arthropoda; Insecta; Hymenoptera; Vespidae
Source: RefSeq, a predicted model, not a curated record